AGAGUUUGAUCAUGGCUCAGGAUGAACGCUAGCGGCAGGCUUAAUACAUGCAAGGCGAGGGAUGUUAGCAAUAAUAGACCGUCGUACGGGUGCGUAACGCGUAUGCAACUUACCUUUAUCUGGGGGAUAGCCUGUGGAAACACGGAUUAAUACCGCAUAAUAAAUGAUUCGGCAUUGGAUUAUUUUAAAAGAUUUAUCGGAUAGAGAUAGGCAUGCGUAAGAUUAGCUAGUUGGUAAGGUAACGGCUUACCAAGGCUACGAUCUUUAGGGGCUCUGAGAGGAGUAACCCCCACACUGGCACUGAGAUACGGGCCAGACUCCUACGGGAGGCAGCAGUAGGGAAUAUUGGGCAAUGGAUGCAAGUCUGACCCAGCCAUGCCGCGUGCAGGAAGACGGCCCUCUGGGUUGUAAACUGCUUUUGAAUGGGAAGAACCGGUGAUAUGCGUAUCACUCUGACGGUACCAUUAGAAUAAGCCACGGCUAACUACGUGCCAGCAGCCGCGGUAAUACGUAGGUGGCGAGCGUUAUCCGGAUUUAUUGGGUUUAAAGGGUGCGUAGGCGGCUGAUUAAGUCAGCGGUGAAAGGUAGCAGCUUAACUGUUUUACAUGCCGUUGAUACUGGUUAGCUUGAGAUACGAGGAGGCAGAUAGAAUUUCUGGUGUAGCGGUGAAAUGCUUAGAUACCAGAAGGAAUACCGAUUGCGAAGGCGAUCUGCUACAAGUAAACUGACGCUGAGGCACGAAAGUAUGGGGAUCAAACAGGAUUAGAUACCCUGGUAGUCCAUACAGUAAACGAUGAUUACUAGCUGUUGG
RNAcentral lists this ribosomal RNA (811 nucleotides) under uncultured bacterium. Its description in RNAcentral is "bacterial SSU rRNA". It matches the Rfam family "Bacterial small subunit ribosomal RNA", at positions 8 to 826 of the family's 1533-position model. The record is from RNAcentral.